RNAcentral lists this ribosomal RNA (492 nucleotides) under uncultured bacterium. RNAcentral describes it as "partial 16S ribosomal RNA". It matches the Rfam family "Bacterial small subunit ribosomal RNA", at positions 29 to 507 of the family's 1533-position model. The record is from RNAcentral.
AGUGAACGCUGGCGGUAGGCCUAACACAUGCAAGUCGAACGGCAGCACAGUAAGAGCUUGCUCUUACGGGUGGCGAGUGGCGGACGGGUGAGGAAUACAUCGGAAUCUACUUUUUCGUGGGGGAUAACGUAGGGAAACUUACGCUAAUACCGCAUACGACCUACGGGUGAAAGAAGGGGAUCUUCGGACCUUGCGCGAUUGAAUGAGCCGAUGUCGGAUUAGCUAGUUGUCGGGGUAAAGGCCCACCAAGGCGACGAUCCGUAGCUGGUCUGAGAGGAUGAUCAGCCACACUGGAACUGAGACACGGUCCAGACUCCUACGGGAGGCAGCAGUGGGGAAUAUUGGACAAUGGGCGCAAGCCUGAUCCAGCCAUACCGCGUGGGUGAAGAAGGCCUUCGGGUUGUAAAGCCCUUUUGUUGGGAAAGAAAAGCAGCAGGUUAAUACCCCGCUGUUCUGACGGUACCCAAAGAAUAAGCACCGGCUAACUUCGUG